This is an RNA transcript of Fragaria vesca subsp. vesca, 1782 nucleotides long. It is a transcript of the gene named SNARE-interacting protein KEULE-like, with no coding region annotated. NCBI's taxonomy places the organism in Eukaryota, Viridiplantae, Streptophyta, Magnoliopsida, Rosales, Rosaceae. The transcript has 19 exons. The record is from RefSeq and is a predicted model, not a curated record.
AUGCCGUUCUCUGUCUCCGGCGGUUCGUCAUCAUAUAAGAAUUUCAAACAAAUAACCCGCCACCGAUUAUUGUAUGAGAUGCUUGCGUCUUGCAAAAGGAAGGACUCAACAAAAUGGAAGGUACUUAUCAUGGAUAAACUUACUACUAAGAUAAUGUCUUCCGCAUGCACACUCAGUGAUACAACAGAAGAGGGUGUUUCAUUGCUUGAAGACUUAGAAAAGAAAAGGCAGUCAUGGCCCAACAUGGAUGCAAUAUACUUUAUCCGGCCUUCUAAAGAGAAUGUUAACUUAUUCUUGUCAGACAUGUCCGGAAAAGCGCCAUUAUACAGGAAGGCAUUUAUUUUCUUUAGUUCACCUAUAUCUAAAGAUUUGGUUGGUCGCAUCAUGGAGGAUUUAAAUGUAUUAAGUCGCAUAUCUGCAUUGAGAGAGAUGAAUUUGGAAUUUUUAGCUAUAGACAGCCAGGGUUUUGUUACCAACAAUGAGAAGGCUUUAGAGCAGCUUUAUAAGGACAAGGAGGAUUCGUGCAAAGGUGUAUUGUGUUUGAAUGAGAUAGCUGUGCGUGUUGCCACAGUCUUGGCUUCUCUAAGGGAAUUUCCUGUUGUGCGCUACCGAGCUGCCAAGUUUCUUGAUGCCACCACGACGACUACUUUUCCUGAUUUAAUUCCUACAAAGCUUGCUGCUGGGAUCUGGGAUUCUCUCAUGAAAUAUAAAGAUACAAUUCCAGAUUUCCCUGAGACAGAAUCAUGCGAGUUGCUUAUCCUUGACAGAUCUGUGGAUCAGAUUGCACCGGUCAUACAUGAAUGGACAUACGAUGCCAUGUGUCAUGAUUUGUUAAAUAUGGAAGGAAAUAGAUAUGUGCUUGAAGUUCCAAGCAAAACUGGUGGUCUGGCUGACAAGAAAGUUGUUCUUCUAGAGCAUGAUCCUGUUUGGCUUGAGCUUCGCCAUGAACACAUAGCAGAGGUUACUGAACGGUUGAAGAAACUUGCCCAUUUUGUUUCAAAUAAUAAGGCUGCAGAAAUGGAGAAUUCAAGGUGUGACUCUCAUGAUCAAUCUACAAUGCAAUUGAAAAAGAUAACUCAAGCAUUACCACAGUAUAUCAAACAAAAGGAGAGGCUUUCCCUUCAUUCGGAGUUGGCAAAGUUACCACCAUGUGAUAUGGCUGCCGUGAAUAAUAUCAAACUGCUUGGUGGAUCAUCAGAGAAUAGAAACAGCUCAUCAGGAAUAUUUUUUCCGAAGUUUGAUAUUACUAAGAAGAAUCGUGCAUCAAGGAAAGAGCGUCCAAGUGAAGAACCAUGGCAGUUUUCGAGAUUUUAUCCUAUUCUAGAGGAAUUGAUAGAAAAACUUAGCAAAGGUGAACUGUCAAAGGAAGAGUAUCCAUGUCUAAAUGACCCAAAGCCAACUUUAAAUCAACUCCCUCAGGCACAUUCUAUGAGAUCAAGACGGACACCGACAUGGGCGCAGCGUGGGAUUUCUGGAGAUGGGUAUUUGUGCCCUUCCUUUGCUGUUGUGCUAAGGCAUGCAUCCAGUGAUUUCAAAAAGAUGGGCAAACGCAUAUUUGUAUUUAUAGUAGGUGGAGCUACUAGAUCAGAGCUCAGGGUUUGCCACAAGCUCACAGUAAAGCUGAACAGGGAAGUUGUUCUAGGCUCCACAUCUCUUGAUGAUCCUUCAACUUUUAUUACGAAACUAAAAAUGAUCACAGCAGACGAUCAGCUCUAAUCAGAAGAUCUCCUAAUCCGACAUGGAAACCGAACAAAACUUGUGUCUGUAAAAUUUUGUGUAUAA